GACGAACGCUGGCGGCGUGCCUAAUACAUGCAAGUCGAACGAGAGCAACCGGUGCUUGCACUGGUCAAUCUAGUGGCGAACGGGUGAGUAACACGUGGGUAACCUGCCCAUCAGAGGGGGAUAACAUCCGGAAACGGAUGCUAAAACCGCAUAGGUCUUCGAACCGCAUGGUUUGAAGAGGAAAAGAGGCGCAAGCUUCUGCUGAUGGAUGGACCCGCGGUGCAUUAGCUAGUUGGUGAGGUAACGGCUCACCAAGGCCGUGAUGCAUAGCCGACCUGAGAGGGUGAUCGGCCACAUUGGGACUGAGACACGGCCCAAACUCCUACGGGAGGCAGCAGUAGGGAAUCUUCCGCAAUGGACGCAAGUCUGACGGGGCAACGCCGCGUGAGUGAAGAAGGUUUUCGGAUCGUAAAACUCUGUUGUUAGAGAAGAACAAGUGCUAGAGUAACUGUUAGCGCCUUGACGGUAUCUAACCAGAAAGCCACGGCUAACUACGUG
Molecule: ribosomal RNA, 498 nt
Filed under: uncultured bacterium
Lineage: Bacteria
Description: partial 16S ribosomal RNA
Rfam family: Bacterial small subunit ribosomal RNA
Source: RNAcentral